AACGAACGCUGGCGGCAUGCCUAACACAUGCAAGUCGAACGAAGCCUUCGGGCUUAGUGGCGCACGGGUGCGUAACGCGUGGGAAUCUGCCCUUAGGUACGGAAUAACUCAGGGAAACUUGUGCUAAUACCGUAUGAUGUCGCGAGACCAAAGAUUUAUCGCCUAGGGAUGAGCCCGCGUUGGAUUAGCUAGUUGGUGAGGUAAAGGCUCACCAAGGCGACGAUCCAUAGCUGGUCUGAGAGGAUGAUCAGCCACACUGGGACUGAGACACGGCCCAGACUCCUACGGGAGGCAGCAGUGGGGAAUAUUGGACAAUGGGCGAAAGCCUGAUCCAGCAAUGCCGCGUGAGUGAAGAAGGCCUUCGGGUUGUAAAGCUCUUUUACCCGGGAAGAUAAUGACUGUACCGGGAGAAUAAGCCCCGGCUAACUCCGUGCCAGCCGCCGCCGUAA
RNAcentral lists this ribosomal RNA (449 nucleotides) under uncultured bacterium. RNAcentral describes it as "partial 16S ribosomal RNA". It matches the Rfam family "Bacterial small subunit ribosomal RNA", at positions 29 to 523 of the family's 1533-position model. The record is from RNAcentral.